Molecule: long non-coding RNA, 1161 nt
Organism: Lycium barbarum (goji berry)
Lineage: Eukaryota; Viridiplantae; Streptophyta; Magnoliopsida; Solanales; Solanaceae
Exons: 2
Source: RefSeq, a predicted model, not a curated record
CACGGGCAACAAUGAAAAUAUAAUGUCAGGCAGGGGUAAAUUAGUAGUUUCAUGUAGGAAACUCCUAUGAUCUACGUGUCAUUAGCAACUCUCUUCAUCAGUUUAUCUACAGAUUUCCAAGAGAGCGAAGGGUUGAAUCUUCUUGGGACUCUCCAUUUGAUGUCUUCAAUGGAAAAAAUUUCACAUUCAAAAUUUUCAUUUGCAGACUUAUUUCUCUCAUCCAUCCCCUGUAUUUUAGCUUUUCCACGAUGCGUUUGGCCUUGGCCUCCCGGUUCAUUUUAAAUUUUCCCCGUCUGUAAGUGAAUAUCUAAGUUGUGCUUAGUUUCUUCUCUACUUCUUUUUCGAUGAGCAAAAGAUGAACUCACUGACUCGAGAUCAAUUUUAUCUUGCUUUCAAUAUUUAUGUAUUCGGAGGAAACAUUGGUUUUAGGUGGUGUAUGUCGUUUCACCACUGGAUUGUCACAUUGAUUCGGAAAAAAAAGUUUAUAUCGGUUCUUUAUAUGAGCAGGCGCACGUAUCCGUCAUAUUCCAUUUCAACCCUCCUUUUCCAUGUGAAAGUGAGGUAUUAUCAAGUUCACUUGUUCAUAUAAGAACUGUGGCACAAGUUUUAUUUAAACAUCAAUUGAACUUAGUGCAUAGCAUCCUCUCCUCUUUUGUACCCUUUCUUUACAUCAAUUUCUUAUGCCGAGAAGCACAGCCACUGAUUGGUAUUUGAUGCGCAUGGCAUUGUUAGUCUGGCAGCAAAGGUUCCCUACUUGGCUCACAAAAUUGGAGUUAAUCCCAUGCUUCUUUCACUUGCUUUUAGAGCCAAUACAGAGCUUAAUAUGAGGGCGACAAAAGUGGUUUUAUUAGUCAUAGCGUCACUUUGUAUAACCAGAAUACUUUCAGGCAGGCUUCAAGUGUUUUGGAAGAAAUGGUCGUUCUUUUGUUUGUUGAGCAGUUAAGGUGCUAGCAGCUCUGCUUUUUAUUGUGUCUCUCCAAUAUUUUACCUGUUACAUAUUUAACUUCCUGAUAAAAUUGCAGCUGGGGAAUACUACGUUGUCGUUAAUAAUUUUCUUUAUGGUGAUCUUUAUAAUACUGAAAAUGCCGAGUAGUCUAUAUCAAUCUGGAAACAUUAUGUGUUCGGACUUUAUUGCAGUUAACUUAUGUCUACUUAAAUGGU